RNAcentral lists this ribosomal RNA (301 nucleotides) under uncultured bacterium. RNAcentral describes it as "partial 16S ribosomal RNA". It matches the Rfam family "Bacterial small subunit ribosomal RNA", at positions 509 to 807 of the family's 1533-position model. The record is from RNAcentral.
CAGUAGCCGCGGGAAUACGUAGGGUGCAAGCGUUAAUCGGAAUUACUGGGCGUAAAGCGUGCGCAGGCGGUUAUAUAAGACAGAUGUGAAAUCCCCGGGCUCAACCUGGGAACUGCAUUUGUGACUGUAUAGCUAGAGUACGGCAGAGGGGGAUGGAAUUCCGCGUGUAGCAGUGAAAUGCGUAGAUAUGCGGAGGAACACCGAUGGCGAAGGCAAUCCCCUGGGCCUGUACUGACGCUCAUGCACGAAAGCGUGGGGAGCAAACAGGAUUAGAGACCCGGGUAGUCCCUGUCUCUUAUAC